Molecule: small nuclear RNA, 103 nt
Organism: Perognathus longimembris pacificus (Pacific pocket mouse)
Lineage: Eukaryota; Metazoa; Chordata; Mammalia; Rodentia; Heteromyidae
Source: RefSeq, a predicted model, not a curated record
UUAUUCUUGCAACAAGUAUACUAACAUUGGGACAAUACAGAGAAGAUUAGCCUGGCUCCUGCACAAGGAGGACAUGCCAAUUCAUGAAGAGUUCACACUUAUU